Molecule: ribosomal RNA, 620 nt
Filed under: uncultured Actinobacillus sp.
Lineage: Bacteria; Pseudomonadati; Pseudomonadota; Gammaproteobacteria; Pasteurellales; Pasteurellaceae
Description: bacterial SSU rRNA
Rfam family: Bacterial small subunit ribosomal RNA
Source: RNAcentral
AGUGGCGGACGGGUGAGUAAUGCUUGGGAAUCUGGCUUAUGGAGGGGGAUAACUACGGGAAACUGUAGCUAAUACCGCGUAGUAUCGGAAGAUGAAAGUGUGGGACCGCAAGGCCACAUGCCAUAAGAUGAGCCCAAGUGGGAUUAGGUAGUUGGUUAGGUAAAGGCUGACCAAGCCGACGAUCUCUAGCUGGUCUGAGAGGAUGACCAGCCACACUGGAACUGAGACACGGUCCAGACUCCUACGGGAGGCAGCAGUGGGGAAUAUUGCACAAUGGGGGGAACCCUGAUGCAGCCAUGCCGCGUGAAUGAAGAAGGCCUUCGGGUUGUAAAGUUCUUUCGGUGAUGAGGAAGGUGUUUGUUUUAAUAGGACAAGCAAUUGACGUUAGUCACAGAAGAAGCACCGGCUAACUCCGUGCCAGCAGCCGCGGUAAUACGGAGGGUGCGAGCGUUAAUCGGAAUAACUGGGCGUAAAGGGCACGCAGGCGGUGACUUAAGUGAGAUGUGAAAGCCCCGAGCUUAACUUGGGAAUUGCAUUUCAUACUGGGUCGCUAGAGUACUUUAGGGAGGGGUAGAAUUCCACGUGUAGCGGUGAAAUUGCGUAGAGAUGUGGAGGAAUAC